GUGACACGCAGCGGCACGUCCCCUCUGAAUCACGUUUCCUUUCUCUCCACAGUUUGUGUUCGCUGAAAGGCGAAAUAUCGCCGGAGAUUGGCCGGGACACAGCGAAUCUGAAGAGUAGAUACAGCACCGCUGGUCCACUGAGUCUGAUGCUGUGGCUGAAGAGACACAACUGAUUUCUUCAUUUGGCAGUUACCAUGGCGAUGAGCGCCAUCCAAUAUGUGGAUUUGUUUCCUUCAACCAGAGAGAGUCUGGACCUGCUCAGAUCUUGGUCACUUGGCUCCUGGUGUUUCUCCAGCUCUUCCUUCCUCAUCGGCAUCUCGCUCACCUCUCUGUCACCUGAUAGCAGCUGAGAGGGGCUGAAUGCCACAGGCCUUUUUCACUCUCACCACAGGCCCCUGACAAAGACGCAGGAAGAGGGAACAGCAAGCUAAUCAAAGAGUAGUCACCUGAACCACCAGCAGCACUUUCCAUGAUGGCAGCCAACAGAGAACACCAAGUGCGUCACAUGACUGGCUUCCCUCGUACUAUGUACCCCUUCACCUUUAACUCCAUGAGGAGCCACUUGCCCUUUGACCUACUGGCCAGUAG
This is a long non-coding RNA of Monopterus albus (swamp eel), 588 nucleotides long. RefSeq lists it as uncharacterized. The record is from RefSeq and is a predicted model, not a curated record. The transcript is spliced from 3 exons. NCBI's taxonomy places the organism in Eukaryota, Metazoa, Chordata, Actinopteri, Synbranchiformes, Synbranchidae.